RNAcentral lists this ribosomal RNA (497 nucleotides) under uncultured bacterium. RNAcentral describes it as "partial 16S ribosomal RNA". It matches the Rfam family "Bacterial small subunit ribosomal RNA", at positions 28 to 507 of the family's 1533-position model. The record is from RNAcentral.
GAUGAACGCUGGCGGCGUGCCUAAUACAUGCAAGUCGAGCGAACGGACGAGAAGCUUGCUUCUCUGAUGUUAGCGGUGGACGGGUGAGUAACACGUGGAUACCCUACCUAUAAGACUGGGAUAACUUCGGGAAACCGGAGCUAAUACCGGAUAAUCUUUUGAACCGCAUGGUUCAAAAGUGAAAGACGGUCUUGCUGUCACUUAUAGAUGGAUCCGUGCUGCAUUAGCUAGUUGGUAAGGUAACGGCUUACCAAGGCAACGAUGCAUAGCCGACCUGAGAGGGUGACCGGCCACACUGGAACUGAGACACGGUCCAGACUCCUACGGGAGGCAGCAGUAGGGAAUCUUCCGCAAUGGGCGAAAGCCUGACGGAGCAACGCCGCGUGAGUGAUGAAGGUCUUCGGAUCGUAAAACUCUGUUAUUAGGGAAGAACAUAUGUGUAAGUAACUGUGCACAUCUUGACGGUACCUAAUCAGAAAGCCACGGCUAACUACGUG